UACGUAGGGUGCAAGCGUUAAUCGGAAUUACUGGGCGUAAAGCGUGCGCAGGCGGUUAUGUAAGACAGAUGUGAAAUGCCCGGGCUUAACCUGGGAACUGCAUUUGUGACUGCAUGGCUAGAGUUUGGCAGAGGGGGGUAGAAUUCCACGUGUAGCAGUGAAAUGCGUAGAGAUGCGGAGGAACACCGAUGGCGAAGGCAGCCCCCUGGGCUAAGACUGACGCUGAGGCACGAAAGCGUGGGGAGCAAACAGG
Molecule: ribosomal RNA, 253 nt
Filed under: uncultured bacterium
Lineage: Bacteria
Description: partial 16S ribosomal RNA
Rfam family: Bacterial small subunit ribosomal RNA
Source: RNAcentral